Non-coding RNA from Odocoileus virginianus texanus, 943 nucleotides. The record is from RefSeq and is a predicted model, not a curated record. NCBI's taxonomy places the organism in Eukaryota, Metazoa, Chordata, Mammalia, Artiodactyla, Cervidae.
AGUGCUGAGUCUUAACCAGUAAACCACCAGGGAAGUCCCACAAUUAAGGGAUGCAUAUACUAAAAUGAAGUAGAAAAUUUAAUAGUGCAAUGCUAGAAAUGACUACACAGGACAUAUAAUUUCAUAAAUCUGAAUGAUACACAAAUGCCAAGUGAUCCUCAGUGAUCCCCAAAUGGUCAGAACAUCAGACAUAUUAACAUUCUGUAUUUUCAUAAUUGUUAUCAAUGAGAAUAUUUUAUAUUAUAGUUCUCAAUUUAAAGCCAAAAAUUCAUUUAAAUAGUUCUGCAGUAAUGUGGGCACUGCAAGGUUAAACACAUUGUAGUAAUAAAGUUCUUAAUAAUCAAGCUUAAAUUUACAUAUGCAAUUUUUUGGUUCAGCUGUAAUAGUUACUUGAUACUUUAUACUAUCUUCCCUAAGCAUUGAUUUAAAACUACAUAUCAUGUGAUUAAUUCAUGGUAUUAUUUCUUUAAUUUAAACAAUGAUUAAGCAACAGUUGAGGUCUAUCCCGAUGGGGCUUUUUCUGUAAACCUACGUCGUUGGAAACGCCUCAUAGAGUAACCAUGUAGUUUCCUUUACUCAUAGAACUACCUGUUAGAUCUGUGGGAAAGAACUACAAGACAGAGCUGCCAAUUAAACUAUGAAAAACCUAACAAUUUUUUUUUAUCUUAGGUAUUGGCAUAUCCCAAUGAUCUCUGUCAAGUUUUAGGGUGUGAUAACUUGGGAAUUAAUAUUAUUUGAACUUUAAGCUUUUAGAGAACUAGACAUCCCAUCUCCUGACCCUAAACAGGUAUUUCGCUUUUCACUUUCUGCAGUUUUCCUUUACUGAUAGCAUGCUUAGCAAAACAGUGGAACUUCUAUACAGGUGCUACUGCUGCAGUCAUGUCUGACUGUGCGACCCCAUAGACGGCAGCCCACCAGGCUCCCCCAUCCCUGGGAUUCUCCA